UACGUAGGGUGCGAGCGUGUCCGGAAUUAUUGGGCGUAAAGAGCUCGUAGGCGGUUUGUUGCGUCGGCCGUGAAAACUUCACGCUUAACGUGGAGCUUGCGGUCGAUACGGGCAGACUUGAGUUCGGUAGGGGAGACUGGAAUUCCUGGUGUAGCGGUGAAAAUGCGCAGAUAUCAGGAGAACACCCGUGGCGAAGGCGGGCUCUGGCGG
Molecule: ribosomal RNA, 210 nt
Filed under: uncultured bacterium
Lineage: Bacteria
Description: partial 16S ribosomal RNA
Rfam family: Bacterial small subunit ribosomal RNA
Source: RNAcentral